GGGUUGUGAGGUUAAGCGACUAAGCGUACACGGUGGAUGCCCUGGCAGUCAGAGGCGAUGAAGGACGUGCUAAUCUGCGAUAAGCGCCGGUAAGGUGAUAUGAACCGUUAUAACCGGCGGUUUCCGAAUGGGGAAACCCAGUGUGACUCGUCACACUAUCAUUAACUGAAUCCAUAGGUUAAUGAGGCGAACCGGGGGAACUGAAACAUCUAAGUACCCCGAGGAAAAGAAAUCAACCGAGAUUCCCCCAGUAGCGGCGAGCGAACGGGGAGGAGCCCAGAGCCUGAAUCAGCAUGUGUGUUAGUGGAAGCGUCUGGAAAGGCGCGCGAUACAGG
This 335-nucleotide ribosomal RNA is filed under the name Salmonella enterica subsp. enterica serovar Kentucky. RNAcentral describes it as "partial 23S ribosomal RNA". It matches the Rfam family "Bacterial large subunit ribosomal RNA", at positions 1 to 363 of the family's 2925-position model. The record is from RNAcentral. Lineage: Bacteria; Pseudomonadati; Pseudomonadota; Gammaproteobacteria; Enterobacterales; Enterobacteriaceae.